Long non-coding RNA from Meriones unguiculatus (Mongolian gerbil), 802 nucleotides. RefSeq lists it as uncharacterized. The record is from RefSeq and is a predicted model, not a curated record. NCBI's taxonomy places the organism in Eukaryota, Metazoa, Chordata, Mammalia, Rodentia, Muridae. The transcript is spliced from 3 exons.
UUCGAAUUCCCUGGGGAUGUGAAGUGUCCAGAUAUUAUCAGGCUUUGAAGAAUCAAUGUCUUGAGCGAUGUCCUGGAACCGACAAUUUGUUGUUGUUGUUUGUUUGUUUUGAAGACAGUAUUUCUCUGUAUAGCCUUGGCUGUCCUGGACUCGCUUUUGUAGACUAGGUUGGCCUCAAACUCACCCGAGUUCUGGAGCCUGCCUCUGCCUCCCCGAGUCCUGGGAUUACAGGCGUACACCAUCUGGCCCGGAAUCAGCAAUUUUAACAAACUCUGCACAGAAUUUAUGGACCCUGAAUACAGAGGGUGAGAGUCCAUCAAAGGAAAGUGAAGGCAUGCAGCAGGAUCAGGAAGCUGAGAGCUCACCUCGUCAUCUACAUUCCAGAAGCAGAAAGAGUGGACUGCACAUGAGAGCAACCAGCCAGGUAUCAGGAAGACCAGCAGUUUUGGGAUCGGGAGAGUAAGGUACAGGCUGGACCUGCAUUUCAGACACUUCUUCCUAUUCCUCAUACUGAAGCUUCCUUAUCACUGCAGAGAACUGCAGAAAGAUCUUCAGUCAAAGGAGGAGGCCCAGCUGUGCUCAUUUACCAGACUCCCCAAACAUCUCUGUUGCUGCUUUUGAUACUGCCUUUCAGACUUUACAAGGAGAAAUGGCUGAUGUCAGUCUGAGAAAGUCAGGGUGGCCACACAGUGGAGAGGUCUCUCUCAGGGGACUGCAUGCAGCAGUCUGUUGCAGGAGAGAUGAAAUAGAAGAGUAUGAAGAAGAGCUGAGCCAGUGGACAAGUGACAUGAGAUGAGGCUGA